AUUGAACGCUGGCGGCAGGCUUAACACAUGCAAGUCGAGCGGGGUGAUGGUGCUUGCACUAUCACUUAGCGGCGGACGGGUGAGUAAUGCUUAGGAAUCUGCCUAUUAGUGGGGGACAACAUCUCGAAAGGGAUGCUAAUACCGCAUACGUCCUACGGGAGAAAGCAGGGGAUCACUUGUGACCUUGCGCUAAUAGAUGAGCAUAAGUCGGAUUAGCUAGUUGGUGGGGUAAAGGCCUACCAAGGCGACGAUCUGUAGCGGGUCUGAGAGGAUGAUCCGCCACACUGGGACUGAGACACGGCCCAGACUCCUACGGGAGGCAGCAGUGGGGAAUAUUGGACAAUGGGGGGAACUCUGAUCCAGCCAUGCCGCGUGUGUGAAGAAGGCCUUAUGGUUGUAAAGCACUUUAAGCGAGGAGGAGGCUCUUUUGGUUAAUACCCAAGAUGAGUGGACGUUACUCGCAGAAUAAGCACCGGCUAACUCUGUGCCAGCAGCCGCCGCGG
Molecule: ribosomal RNA, 503 nt
Filed under: uncultured bacterium
Lineage: Bacteria
Description: partial 16S ribosomal RNA
Rfam family: Bacterial small subunit ribosomal RNA
Source: RNAcentral